RNAcentral lists this ribosomal RNA (844 nucleotides) under uncultured bacterium. RNAcentral's name for it is "bacterial SSU rRNA". It matches the Rfam family "Bacterial small subunit ribosomal RNA", at positions 26 to 899 of the family's 1533-position model. The record is from RNAcentral.
AGGAUGAACGCUGGCGGCGUGCCUAACACAUGCAAGUCUAGCGAUCUUCUUCGGAAGAGAGCGGCGGACGGGUGAGUAACGCGUGGGUAACCUGCCCUGUACACACGGAUAACAUACCGAAAGGUAUGCUAAUACGGGAUAACAUAUGAAAGUCACAUGACUUUCAUAUCAAAGCUUUUGCGGUACAGGAUGGACCCGCGUCUGAUUAGCUAGUUGGUAAGGUAACGGCUUACCAAGGCGACGAUCAGUAGCCGACCUGAGAGGGUGAUCGGCCACACUGGAACUGAGACACGGUCCAGACUCCUACGGGAGGCAGCAGUGGGGAAUACUGCACAAUGGGCGAAAGCCUGAUGCAGCAACGCCGCGUGAGCGAUGAAGGCCUUCGGGUCGUAAAGCUCUGUCCUCAAGGAAGAUAAUGACGGUACUUGAGGAGGAAGCCCCGGCUAACUACGUGCCAGCAGCCGCGGUAAUACGUAUGGGGCUAGCGUUAUCCGGAAUUACUGGGCGUAAAGGGUGCGUAGGCGGUCUUUCAAGCCAGAAGUGAAAGGCUACGGCUCAACCGUAGUAAGCUUUUGGAACUGUAGGACUUGAGUGCAGGAGAGGAGAGUAGAAUUCCUAGUGUAGCGGUGAAAUGCGUAGAUAUUAGGAGGAAUACCAGUAGCGAAGGCGGCUCUCUGGACUGUAACUGACGCUGAGGCACGAAAGCGUGGGGAGCGAACAGGAUUAGAUACCCUGGUAGUCCACGCCGUAAACGAUGAGUACUAGGUGUCGGGGGUUACCCCCCUCGGUGCCGCAGCUAACGCAUUAAGUACUCCGCCUGGGAAGUACGCUCGCAAGAGUGAAA